GUGGGAAUUCCCAUGAACUGCAUCUUCCCUGUGAAGAACUACCAUGAAGAAAUCAACCUCAACAGUGACAUUGACUCACUGAUCCUGAGCGCCCUGACAAACAUCAUCAACUUCGGAGACGACUGCAUCAACAUGGGUAAAGACAGUGAUUCCAAAGAAGAGCUUCUAAACUUCAGUAUUAAACCUGCACCCCCAUACGAAAAAUUGCAGUGAUAUGUGUCAGAUUGUCCUGAUGAGCCAGACUGUUUCAGACUUCUCUGAUCCUCCACCUGGGAUUUAUGUUGUCUGUUAUUCAUUCAAAUAAUCUAAACUCAGAGUGACUCUGUAAAUGUGUUCUGUCUAUGACCACAUAACCAUAAAUUAACACAUUUAAAUGUAUAUUUCCAUAGAUCUAUCUAUGUAUAUUUCUGUCUUGCAUUCUGCUGCAGCUCCACCCUGUGCAAGAAUAAAGUAUUACAGUUCAUUAACAUAGAGGAUCUUUGAGUGUAUUAUAUUAGCUACUGGAACUGAGCUUGGCUAGACUACUUUUUCAUUUUCUGCUCUACAUUCCUGGAAUGCCUAACAAAGCACCUUAAAAUGUGUCUCUACUCAAUCUAUCAGUCAAUUUAAGGCCUUGAUUAGUGUGUGUCUUAUUGUGUCUGCUUUAUUUGAUUGUUUAAAAAUGUGAUCUGUUGUAAUUUAGAUGUUAUGUUAUGGUUUAUUUGGGGAAAUGAAUGUUGUGCACUCGAGUUUUCAAUAAACUUUUUGAAAUUAAAUUUCAAAGUCUUUGGUUCUGAAGAAAAGUAGCUGGGCUGUAUCACGCACAUCAUUGUCUCGCUUUGCAAGACCUUCCUCCACAGCGCUGUGGAUGAAGUCUUUUUUUGUGUUUUUUAUUAUAACAAUCAAUUGUUUAUUCUAAAAAUGCCAACCAAUAAA
Perca fluviatilis (European perch) is the source of this 915-nucleotide long non-coding RNA. RefSeq lists it as uncharacterized. NCBI's taxonomy places the organism in Eukaryota, Metazoa, Chordata, Actinopteri, Perciformes, Percidae. The transcript has 3 exons. The record is from RefSeq and is a predicted model, not a curated record.